GUGAGGAAUUUUCCGCAAUGGGCGAAAGCCUGACGGAGCAAUGCCGCGUGAAGGAUGAAGGCCUAUGGGUUGUAAACUUCUUUUCUCAGAAAAGAAUUAUGACGGUAUCUGAGGAAUAAGCAUCGGCUAACUCUGUGCCAGCAGCCGCGGUAAGACAGAGGAUGCAAGCGUUAUCCGGAAUGAUUGGGCGUAAAGCGUCUGUAGGUUGUUUACAAAGUAUUCUGUCAAAGAUUAGGGCUUAACCCUAGAUAGGCAGAAUAAACUUUUAAGCUAGAGUUUGGUAGAGGCAGAGGGAAUUCCCGGUGGAGCGGUGAAAUGCGUAGAUAUCGGGAGGAACACCAAAGGCGAAGGCACUCUGCUGGGCCAAUACUAACACUGAGAGACGAAAGCGAGGGGAGCAAAUGGGAUUAGAAACCCUAGUAGUCC
This 426-nucleotide ribosomal RNA is filed under the name uncultured bacterium. RNAcentral's name for it is "partial 16S ribosomal RNA". It matches the Rfam family "Bacterial small subunit ribosomal RNA", at positions 354 to 796 of the family's 1533-position model. The record is from RNAcentral.